Molecule: ribosomal RNA, 1427 nt
Filed under: bacterium endosymbiont of Onthophagus Taurus
Lineage: Bacteria
Description: bacterial SSU rRNA
Rfam family: Bacterial small subunit ribosomal RNA
Source: RNAcentral
CCGCGACGUCACAGCAGUCGACGGUACUGAAAAGAGCUUGCUCUUCUGCAGACGAGUGACGGACGGGUGAGUCAUGUUUGGGAAUCUGCCUUAUGGAGGGGGAUAACCACGGGAAACUGUGGCUAAUAUCGCGUAGUAUCGAGAGAUUUAAAGUGUGGGAUCUUCGGACCACAUGCCAUAAGAUGAGCCCAAGUGAGAUUAGCUAGUAGGUAAGGUAAUGGCUUACCUAGGCGACGAUCUCAAGCUGGUCUGAGAGGAUGAUCAGCCACACUGGAACUGAGACACGGUCCGGACUCCUAUGGGAGGCAGCAGUGGGGAAUAUUGCACAAUGGGGGAAACCCUGAUGCAGCCAUGCCGCGUGAAUGAAGAAGGCCUUAGGGUUGUAAAGUUCUUUCGGUAAUGAGGAAGGCUUAGGUUCUAACAGGACUUAAGAUUGACGUUAGUUACAGAAGAAGCACCGGCUAACUCCGUGCCAGCAGCCGCGGUAAUACGGAGGGUGCGAGCGUUAAUCGGAAUUACUGGGCGUAAAGGGUACGCAGGCGGAUAAUUAAGUGAGAUGUGAAAUCCCCGAGCUUAACUUGGGAGCUGCAUUUCAUACUGGUUAUCUAGAGUAUUGAAGAGAGGGGUAGAAUUCCAUGUGUAGCUGUGAAAUGCGUAGAGAUGUGGAGGAAUGCCAGUGGCGAAUGCGGCCCCUUGGUCAAAUACUGACGUUCAUGUACGAAAGCGUUGGGAGCAAACAGGAUUAGAUACCCUGGUAGUCCACACUGUAGACGAUGUCGAUUUGAAGGUUGGGCUUAAGUCUGGCUUUCGAAGCUAACGCAAUAAAUCGACCGCCUGGGGAGUACGGCCGCAAGGUUAAAACUCAAAUGAAUUGACGGGGGCCCGCACAAGCGGUGGAGCAUGUGGUUUAAUUCGAUGCAACGCGAAGAACCUUACCUACUCUUGACAUCCAGAGAAUCCUUCAGAGAUGAGGGAGUGCCUUCGGGAACUCUGAGACAGGUGCUGCAUGGCUGUCGUCAGCUCGUGUUGUGAAAUGUUGGGUUAAGUCCCGCAACGAGCGCAACCCUUAUCCUUUGUCGCCAGCACGUUAUGGUGGGAACUCAAAGGAGACUGCCGGUGAUAAGCCGGAGGAAGGUGGGGACGAGGUCAAGUCAUCAUGGCCCUUACUAGUAGGGCUACACACGUGCUACAAUGGUAAAUACAGAGGGCAGCAAGAGCGCGAGCUGGAGCAAAUCCCACAAAGUUUAUCGUCGUCCGGAUUGGAGUCUGCAACUUGACUCCAUGAAUUCGGAAUCGCUAGUGGACGCGAAUCAGAAUGUCGCGGUGAAUACGUUCCCUUACAGGGACACACCGCCCGUCACACCAUGGGAGUGGGUUGUACCAGAAGUGAUAGCUAACCUCGGAGAUGUACCUCCCAAACCAUCUGG